RNAcentral lists this unclassified non-coding RNA (253 nucleotides) under uncultured Alteromonadales bacterium. Its description in RNAcentral is "contains 16S-23S intergenic spacer region". It matches the Rfam family "Bacterial small subunit ribosomal RNA", at positions 524 to 776 of the family's 1533-position model. The record is from RNAcentral. Lineage: Bacteria; Pseudomonadati; Pseudomonadota; Gammaproteobacteria; Alteromonadales.
UACGGAGGGUGCAAGCGUUAAUCGGAAUUACUGGGCGUAACGCGCGCGUAGGCGGUUUGAUAAGCAGGAUGUGAAGGCCCCGGGCUUAACCUGGGAAUGGCAUUCUGACCUGUCUGACUGGAGUAUGGUAGAGGGUAGUGGAAUUUCCGGUGUAGCGGUGAAAUGCGUAGAUAUCGGAAGGAACACCAGUGGCGAAGGCGACUACCUGGACCAAUACUGACGCUGAGGUGCGAAAGCGUGGGUAGCAAACAGG